Diabrotica virgifera virgifera (western corn rootworm) is the source of this 2686-nucleotide long non-coding RNA. RefSeq lists it as uncharacterized. Lineage: Eukaryota; Metazoa; Arthropoda; Insecta; Coleoptera; Chrysomelidae. The transcript is spliced from 2 exons. The record is from RefSeq and is a predicted model, not a curated record.
AUUAUUAUCCACAAUGAACACUCAGGAUGUGACGUCACUAACUGUCACUUUCAGUUUGCUCAAACCGGUUUGAUCAAAUUAUUUGAUGGUGGGACGCGCCCUUGAGAUUCGCCUGUCAUUUUACACUUCCCAAGCAUAGAGGUAUAUAUUAACAUAGAGUGAGCCCUCACUCCGCCACCACUGACGACAAGAUCUCUUCGACUGGUUUGCGGUAUCUCUUUCUAGCACAAUGUAUCGAGAAACAUAACAUGAAACUAAGUGGGGGUACGGGACGGCAAGUGAAAUAAGGAGAAUUACUUUAUUCUUCUUUUUUCUUUAAUUAUUAUGACAAGUGACAAGACAACAUAACCCAAAUAAUUUAAUCCGGCCCUAUUUCUAUUUUUGAACAAAAUGUUGGAAAUAUCUUAGUUUAUUUUUAGUUCUAGCUUAUUUAUGGCUAGAUUGAAAAUCUGAAUUUUCUAAUAUUGGUUCAUGAUUAUCAUCAGGGACUUGAUUCGGUUCUUAAACAGGAUCUCUUUUAGUCCCAAUCACUGCAGCAGUGGAGCUAUGUUUUUAUUUUCACGGUGCUAGUAGAUGGCGAAUAAAUCGUUUAAUUUUCAAUAUUUUUUUAUGAAAAUUGUUUCACAUGUACUUUUUAUAACAAAUGUUCAGUAGUAAUAACCAGAGGACAUUGAUAAUUGUUCGAAAAAUUUUUAUAACAGAUUUCGAAAGCUUGUUCCUUGGAAACAGACCGACGCCGUAGGCGGAGGUCUGUUGCCUGUAAGCAACAAGCUUGAGAAAGUUGUUAAAAAAUUUUUGAGCAUUUAUCAAUGUUCGAGGGUUAUUCGGAUAGAAAAUUUUUUGCUGAUAUAAAAUUAAUAAUAAUUUCAUUAAUAUUCUCAUCAGUAUUACAACCAAAUCGUGACAUUUUGAAAUAUUGAAUAUUUGAAAUGUCAAAAUUGAAAUGAAACGAAAUGUAGGUAUCCAUAGCUACAUGAUUGACUGAAAACAGCCCAUGGGAUCUGUUUUCAGUAUAAUGUUGGUUUUAUUGGUUGUAUUCAAUCAGAUGACCACAAAUUAAUUGAUUUCAUUGGAUUUCUAAUUGAGCAAAAAAUUUUCAAAAUAAUUGGUACAGUACUUUUUAUUUUAGAAAUUCCCAAAAAAGUAUAUGAAUUUCAUACUUUUACACUAGGAUAGCCCCUUAAGAAAGGUAAAUUUCUAGAGCUGCCUAAAGACAGCCAUCAUUAUUCCUCUUCAUAAGGGUGGUGAAAAAUCUAAUGCCUGCAAUUAUAGACCUAUUGCAUUACUACUGGUACUAUCAAAUAGGACUCAUAUUACACAAGUAUAAAAACUUGUUGCUGGUAUGAGCACAUUGUGUAAAUGUUAGGAUUUAAAGAGGAUAUAAAAACCUUCAAUACAAUUAUGAGCGUUAGUCUCUUUAUAUCCUAACAUUUUUUUUGUUAUUGUUUUAGUUUAUUAUUGUUUUUUAUGACUCUGUAAGUUUUGUGUAUAAAUUCUACAAUUUUCCAUGACAAUAAAGCAUUUUUCUAUUCUAAGUUGUCUAUUUGUUAAACCAAAGCAUUGAUUAUUAUUACAAAAUAUUAAUAUAAUCAAUUAAAUAAUAAUAUUAAUCUCACAAACAAUAUAGGAAGUAUAGUUAAAAAGAAUAAACAUAGUAAUCCACAAGGAAAUAAAUCUGCACAUAGCUAUAGCCCAAAGUAACUUCUGUUGUUUAUCCAAAUCUUCAAUAGUCAAAAACAUUUGUGUAAAAUUAGAUUCCAGCAGUUUCUCCUUUUCCUACAUUUAAAAUAGCUGGUGUUUAUUCCUAAAAACAACAAAUACAUAAAUAAAAACUCUAAAUUGUAUACCAUAAAAAAAUCAUACAAAUAUGACAAAAUAUCACAAGAGUAUUUUAACAUUAUUUAAGGACAAUUGCCAUAAUAAGCCACAACAAAAAUGUAUUAAGCGAAAAAGCUAUAGAGCUGAAACAGGAAGUUGCUAUGUUUGGUCUAUAUAUUAAUGAAAGUAAAAAAAAAUACCUAAAUGGAAUAUAACAAUGGGUCUUAUCGGUAAUAAGAAGUGUUUUUAUGCAUACAAAGACGUAAUGAAAAGUAAGUUACUGUUACUGAAUCGUGAGUAUAAGCUUAGAAUCUACAAAACAGUAAUUACACCAGUGGUCACAUAUGGAUGUGAAAUGUGGACCAUCUCAACCACUAAUGAAAAUCAACUGAGAAUAUUUGAGCGUAAAAUACUAAGGAACAUAUUUGGACCAACACAUUGUAAAGAUGGUUCAUGGAUAAUUAAAAUGAACCACAAGCUGAAUGAACUAAUGCAGAGCACAGAUAUUGUUAGAUUUGUAAAGUGUCAAAGACUAAACUUUCUUGGUCGCUUAGCAAAAAUGUCAGAUAAUCGAGCUGUGAUGUCAGAGAUGGAAGCCCCAAGGAAAUAUAACAAGAGGAAGGCCCUGUAACAGAUGGAUAGACGAUGUAGAGAAGGAUCUUAAAACCAUAAAUAUCAGGCAGUGGUGCAGGAAAGUAGCAACAGGGCAGAAUAGAAGAAUGCUGUUAAGCAGGCAAAGAUUUACAAAUGGUUGUAGUGUCAUUAGAAGAAGAAGAUUUAAGGACAGUUUAGGCAGGCUAUAUGCAUUAAGGCAUUAUUAAGCUUUGCAUUUAACCAUAUUGUAAUACACUAUAUCUUACAUGGUCAA